CGCGGGGGAGCAGCCUGGUAGCUCGUCGGGCUCAUAACCCGAAGGUCGUCGGUUCAAAUCCGGCCCCCGCAACCA
This 75-nucleotide transfer RNA is filed under the name Escherichia coli. Its description in RNAcentral is "tRNA-Met". It matches the Rfam family "tRNA". Rfam says of the family: Transfer RNA (tRNA) molecules are approximately 80 nucleotides in length. Their secondary structure includes four short double-helical elements and three loops (D, anti-codon, and T loops). Lineage: Bacteria; Pseudomonadati; Pseudomonadota; Gammaproteobacteria; Enterobacterales; Enterobacteriaceae. RNAcentral also lists the same sequence under 1 other name. The record is from RNAcentral.